This 505-nucleotide ribosomal RNA is filed under the name Cordyceps fumosorosea. RNAcentral's name for it is "LSU rRNA". It matches the Rfam family "Eukaryotic large subunit ribosomal RNA", at positions 95 to 610 of the family's 3401-position model. The record is from RNAcentral. Lineage: Eukaryota; Fungi; Ascomycota; Sordariomycetes; Hypocreales; Cordycipitaceae.
AAGCGCGCAACAGCUCAAAUUUGAAAUCUGGCCCUCGGGUCCGAGUUGUAAUUUGUAGAGGAUGCUUUUGGCGAGGUGCCUUCCGAGUUCCCUGGAACGGGACGCCAUAGAGGGUGAGAGCCCCGUCUGGUCGGACACCGAGCCUCUGUAAAGCUCCUUCGACGAGUCGAGUAGUUUGGGAAUGCUGCUCAAAAUGGGAGGUAUAUGUCUUCUAAAGCUAAAUAUUGGCCAGAGACCGAUAGCGCACAAGUAGAGUGAUCGAAAGAUGAAAAGCACUUUGAAAAGAGGGUUAAAAAGUACGUGAAAUUGUUGAAAGGGAAGCGCCUAUGACCAGACUUGAGCCCGGUGAAUCAUCCAGCAUUCUCGCUGGUGCACUUUGCCGGGCCCAGGCCAGCAUCAGUUUGGCGCGGGAGAUAAAGGUGACAGGGAAUGUGGCUCCUCGGGAGUGUUUAGCCCGCUCCGUAAUUACCUGCGCCAGGAAGGAGGCUACCCCCCAUUGCCAAGG